UACGAAGGGAGCUAGCGUUGUUCGGAAUUACUGGGCGUAAAGGGCGCGUAGGCGGCUUAGCAAGUUGGAUGUGAAAGCCCAGGGCUCAACCCUGGAAUUGCAUUCAAGACUGCUUUGCUUGAAUUCGGUAGAGGUUGGUGGAAUUCCCAGUGUAGAGGUGAAAUUCGUAGAGAUUGGGAAGAACACCAGUGGCGAAGGCGGCCAACUGGACCGACAUUGACGCUGAGGCGCGAAAGCGUGGGGAUCAAACAGG
Molecule: ribosomal RNA, 253 nt
Filed under: uncultured bacterium
Lineage: Bacteria
Description: partial 16S ribosomal RNA
Rfam family: Bacterial small subunit ribosomal RNA
Source: RNAcentral